Molecule: ribosomal RNA, 622 nt
Filed under: uncultured bacterium
Lineage: Bacteria
Description: bacterial SSU rRNA
Rfam family: Bacterial small subunit ribosomal RNA
Source: RNAcentral
CAAAGGAGCAAUCCGCUGAAAGAUGGGCUCGCGUCCGAUUAGGUAGUUGGCGGGGCAACGGCCCACCAAGCCGACGAUCGGUAGCCGGACUGAGAGGUUGAACGGCCACAUUGGGACUGAGACACGGCCCAGACUCCUACGGGAGGCAGCAGUGAGGGAUAUUGGUCAAUGGGGGAAACCCUGAACCAGCAACGCCGCGUGAGGGAAGACGGUUUUCGGAUUGUAAACCUCUGUCCCCUGUGAAGAUGAUGACGGUAGCAGAGGAGGAAGCUCCGGCUAACUACGUGCCAGCAGCCGCGGUAAUACGUAGGGAGCAAGCGUUGUCCGGAUUUACUGGGUGUAAAGGGUGCGUAGGCGGCUUUGCAAGUCAGAAGUGAAAUCCAUGGGCUUAACCCAUGAACUGCUUUUGAAACUGCAGAGCUUGAGUGGAGUAGAGGUAGGCGGAAUUCCCGGUGUAGCGGUGAAAUGCGUAGAGAUCGGGAGGAACACCAGUGGCGAAGGCGGCCUGCUGGGCUCUAACUGACGCUGAGGCACGAAAGCGUGGGUAGCAAACAGGAUUAGAUACCCUGGUAGUCCACGCUGUAAACGAUGAUUACUAGGUGUGGGUGGACUGACCCCAUCC